Molecule: ribosomal RNA, 459 nt
Filed under: uncultured bacterium
Lineage: Bacteria
Description: partial 16S ribosomal RNA
Rfam family: Bacterial small subunit ribosomal RNA
Source: RNAcentral
CCUACGGGCGGCUGCAGUGAGGAAUAUUGGUCAAUGGGCGGGAGCCUGAACCAGCCAAGCCGCGUGAAGGAAGAAGGCGCCAAGCGUCGUAAACUUCUUUUGUCGGGGAACAAAGGGCGCCACGUGUGGCGUUGUGAGUGUACCCGACGAAAAAGCAUCGGCAAACUCCGUGCCAGCAGCCGCGGUAAUACGGAGGAUGCGAGCGUUAUCCGGAUUUAUUGGGUUUAAAGGGUGCGUAGGCGGUCCGGAAAGUCAGCGGUAAAAGCCCGGGGCUCAACCCCGGCGAGCCGUUGAAACUGUCGGACUAGAGACGGCGAGAAGUACGCGGAAUGCGCGGUGUAGCGGUGAAAUGCAUAGAUAUCGCGCAGAACUCCGAUUGCGAAGGCAGGGUACCGGCGCCGGACUGACGCUGAGGCACGAAGGCGUGGGUAGCGAACAGGAUUAGAUACCCCUGUAGUC